AUUGAACGCUGGCGGCAUGCCUUACACAUGCAAGUCGAACGGCAGCACGGGUGCUUGCACCUGGUGGCGAGUGGCGAACGGGUGAGUAAUACAUCGGAACGUACCUUAUCGUGGGGGAUAACGCAGCGAAAGCUGUGCUAAUACCGCAUACGCCCUGAGGGGGAAAGCGGGGGAUCGCAAGACCUCGCGCGAUUAGAGCGGCCGAUGCCUGAUUAGCUUGUUGGUGGGGUAAAAGCCCACCAAGGCGACGAUCAGUAGCUGGUCUGAGAGGACGAUCAGCCACACUGGGACUGAGACACGGCCCAGACUCCUACGGGAGGCAGCAGGGGGGAAUUUUGGACAAUGGGGGCAACCCUGAUCCAGCAAUGCCGCGUGAGUGAAGAAGGCCUUCGGGUUGUAGAGCUCUUUUGUCAGUGAAGAAACACCGGCUCUAACACUGUCUGGGAAUGACGGUACCUGAAGAAUAAGCACCGGCUAACUACGUGCCAGCCGCCGCCGUAA
RNAcentral lists this ribosomal RNA (501 nucleotides) under uncultured bacterium. Its description in RNAcentral is "partial 16S ribosomal RNA". It matches the Rfam family "Bacterial small subunit ribosomal RNA", at positions 30 to 523 of the family's 1533-position model. The record is from RNAcentral.